GAUGAAGAACGCAGCGAAAUGCGAUAAGUAGUGUGAAUUGCAGAAUUCAGUGAAUCAUCGAAUCUUUGAACGCACAUUGCGCCCCCUGGUAUUCCGGGGGGCAUGCCUGUCCGAGCGUCAUUACAACCCUCAAGCUCAGCUUGGUGUUGGGCCCCGCCGCCCCGGCGGGCCCUAAAGUCAGUGGCGGUGCCGUCCGGCUCCGAGCGUAGUAAUUCUUCUCGCUCUGGAGGUCCGGUCGUGUGCUCGCCAGCAACCUCCAAUUUUUUUCAGGUUGACCUCGGAUCAGGUAGGGAUACCCGCUGAACUUAAGCAUAUCAAUAAGCGGAGGA
RNAcentral lists this unclassified non-coding RNA (329 nucleotides) under soil metagenome. Its description in RNAcentral is "partial contains 5.8S ribosomal RNA, internal transcribed spacer 2, and large subunit ribosomal RNA". The stretch from base 1 to 120 matches the Rfam family "5.8S ribosomal RNA", at positions 35 to 154 of the family's 154-position model. The record is from RNAcentral.